Molecule: ribosomal RNA, 468 nt
Filed under: uncultured bacterium
Lineage: Bacteria
Description: partial 16S ribosomal RNA
Rfam family: Bacterial small subunit ribosomal RNA
Source: RNAcentral
GACGAACGCUGGCGGCGUGCUUAACACAUGCAAGUCGAACGGAAAGGCCCUGCUUUUGUGGGGUGCUCGAGUGGCGAACGGGUGAGUAACACGUGAGUAACCUGCCCUUGACUUUGGGAUAACUUCAGGAAACUGGGGCUAAUACCGGAUAGGAGCUCCUGCUGCAUGGUGGGGGUUGGAAAGUUUCGGCGGUGGGGGAUGGACUCGCGGCUUAUCAGCUUGUUGGUGGGGUAGUGGCUUACCAAGGCUUUGACGGGUAGCCGGCCUGAGAGGGUGACCGGCCACAUUGGGACUGCGAUACGCCCCAGACUCCUACGGGCGGCAGCAGUGGGGAAUAUUGCACAGUGGGCGGAAGCCUGAUGCAGCAACGCCGCGUGCGGGAUGACGGCCUUCGGGUUGUAAACCGCUUUCGCCUGUGACGAAGCGUGAGUGACGGUAAUGGGUAAAGAAGCACCGGCUAACUACGUG